This 494-nucleotide ribosomal RNA is filed under the name uncultured bacterium. Its description in RNAcentral is "partial 16S ribosomal RNA". It matches the Rfam family "Bacterial small subunit ribosomal RNA", at positions 28 to 507 of the family's 1533-position model. The record is from RNAcentral.
GACGAACGCUGGCGGCGUGCUUGACACAUGCAAGUCGAACGGAAAGGCCUGCUUUCCCUUGUGGAUUGCGGGUACUCGAGUGGCGAACGGGUGAGUAACACGUGAGUGAUCUGCCCCCAACUUGGGUAUAAGCCUGGGAAACUGGGUCUAAUUCCCGAUAGGACUGCAGGGUGGUGCCUGUGGUGGAAAACGAUUUUCUAGUGGUUGGGGAUGAGCUCGCGGCCUAUCAGCUUGUUGGUGGGGUAAUGGCCUACCAAGGCGGCGACGGGUAGCCGGCCUGGGAGGGUGGACGGCCACAUUGGGACUGAGAUACGGCCCAGACUCCUACGGGAGGCAGCAGUGGGGAAUAAUGCACAAUGGGCGGAAGCCUGAGGCAGCGACGCCGCGUGGGGGAUGACGGCCUUCGGGUUGUAAACUCCUUUCGACCGCGAGGAAGCCACCUGGUUGGAAGGGUGGUGACGGUAGUGGUAGAAGAAGCACCGGCUAACUACGUG